This 326-nucleotide RNase P RNA is filed under the name Chlamydiae bacterium RIFCSPHIGHO2_01_FULL_44_39. RNAcentral describes it as "RNase P RNA component class A". It matches the Rfam family "Bacterial RNase P class A". Rfam says of the family: Ribonuclease P (RNase P) is a ubiquitous endoribonuclease, found in archaea, bacteria and eukarya as well as chloroplasts and mitochondria. Its best characterised activity is the generation of mature 5'-ends of tRNAs by cleaving the 5'-leader elements of precursor-tRNAs. Cellular RNase Ps are ribonucleoproteins. The record is from RNAcentral. Lineage: Bacteria; Pseudomonadati; Chlamydiota. RNAcentral also lists the same sequence under 5 other names.
GGGGGAGGCAAGCUAUCGCACCUAGUUUGUAGGUGAGGAAAGUCUGGACUUCGAACGGAAGGAUACCAGUUAACGGCUGGGCACCGUAAGGUGACGGAAAGUGCAACAGAGACCAUUGCCAUUUAAGGCUGAAAAGUUCGAGUGUAAACUCGAUCGUACUCCGGGCAACCGGAGGCGUUGUAAACCCUAUCUGAAGCAAGAUGAGGGGGGACGCGUUUCCAAGCGCGGAUGAUCCCCUGUUAGAAUCGCUCGAGAGUUCUGGUAACAGAUCUCCUAGAGGAAUGAUAGCUCAUGACAGAAUCCGGCUUAUGAUCCCUCCCCCACCU